Aegilops tauschii subsp. strangulata is the source of this 867-nucleotide RNA transcript. RefSeq lists it as uncharacterized. NCBI's taxonomy places the organism in Eukaryota, Viridiplantae, Streptophyta, Magnoliopsida, Poales, Poaceae. The record is from RefSeq and is a predicted model, not a curated record.
CCUCCACGCCUCCUUGUUCACGUGCCACGGCAAAGGGUGAAAUCGUUCACGGGCUCGCGCCGAGCUCCUAGAUAAAAUGCCCCGACGACGGCCGUCAGGAUGAAAACACCGCCUUGUGCCUCCAUCGUCCCGAGGAUCGAUCGAAGAGCCAGACGUGCAGCGAUGAGCCGUCGCACCAGGCGCGGCGACCGGCGGCAGCAGCAGCCGCCGGCUCGUUCCACGACCGUGUCCAACAACCCGAUCUUCUUCGUGCACGACAGCCUCGACGACGUGCCGGGCGCCGCCGUCGCCAAGCCGCGCUGCCGCUGCCCCCGAGCAGGGCGCACCUGCAGCCAGCGGACUCUCGGCGGCCAGCCGGUUCCACGUUCAUGGCGAGCCGGCACGGGAGCGGCUGGGUCCUGAGGAGGGUGCACCACCACGACCCGUUCCUCGCCGCCUACGUGGCCUGCACCAAGAGCGGCGGCAAGGUCGACGCCGCUCCGGCGAAGGGGCAACAGAAGAAGAACAGGGGCAGAGGCGAUGCCGCUGUUCAGGGGUGCGGCAUUUGGAGCGGUUGGACGGCGGCGGGAGCCAAGUACGCCGGGGUGAUGUCGUGUAAGUACGGCUGCGACGUUGCCACCGCGCAGGGCGACGAUCCUGCGGCGUCCCCGGCGCCCAGGCUGCACCUGUCGCGGCAGCUGGUGGUGAUCCCGGCCAGGAAGAGGGCCCUGCCGCCACGGGGCGGGGCGCAGGGCUGAGGGAGGGUGCUGUACUUGUGUUUGUUUCUGGUGCUGUGUGGUGCACCACCACGUACAUAACCAAUGUAACAAUACCACUGCAGUGUGUAAAAUUGUGCAGAAACAGAUAUAUAAACUUGUACUAUGUGUA